RNAcentral lists this long non-coding RNA (2213 nucleotides) under Anas platyrhynchos platyrhynchos (common mallard). Its description in RNAcentral is "lncRNA (ENSAPLG00000030734.1)". Lineage: Eukaryota; Metazoa; Chordata; Aves; Anseriformes; Anatidae. The record is from RNAcentral.
GUGGUAAUUCUGGAUGUUCAGCGCCGAGGUCAGCGCCUCCUUCUUCUGGUCGGCCAGCGCGCGGAACCGCUCCCACCUGCACGGCAGAGGGCUCAGGGGACGGCCGAGCCCCCCCGGAUCCCCCCGCCUACACCCUGGGACCCCCCCGGAUGCCCGAACCUGGCGUUGAGCUGCUCGCGGGUGGCGCGGAUGCUCUCCUGGUUGCGCUGGUCGGUGGCCAGCAGCUGGUCGGCGAUGCGGUUGACGGCGGCGACGCGGGACGCCAGGUUGUUCAUCUCCGGCUCCAGCGUCUCGAACCUUGGGGGGGCGACGACAAUGAACGAGGUCCUCCAGCUUGUCGGGGACGAGCAGGGCGUGCAGCCACUGCUCCUUCUCGCCCACCCAGAGCCCGCAGGCGUCCGCCUCGCUGCGCAUGGUGUAGAGGCUGAGGGCGUCCUGCAGCUCCUGCCGCCGCCGCUCCGUCUGCGCCGCCAGCUCCUGGUAGCGCCGCUCCAGCGCCGGCAGCCGCCCGGCGACACCGGGAGCGCCGGCAAAGGCGGGCGGCAGGGCCCCGGCUUGCUCGUGGAGGGCGGCGAUGGCCGGGAGGUGGCUGCGCACCUCCUCCUGCACCUCGCGGUGCUGCCGGGCCAGGCUGCGCGUGGAGUACUCGUCGUGGCCCAGCUCGGGGCUGGAGGCCAGGCGCAGGGCGUCCUCCAGCCAGGCCUCCACGUCGGCCGCCUCCGCCUGGAACUGGAAGAGGCCGGCGGCGUCCCGCAGGCGCCGCUCGCGCUCGGCCGCCAGCUCGCCCAGUGCCCGCCAGCGCCCCUCCACCUCCCGCACCCGCUCGCCCACCUCGCCCGCCCGCGGGUGCCCCUCGCCCGCCAGCCCCCGGCCCCGCGCCAGUGCCUGCUGCAGGGGCCCCGCGCGCCCGCUCAGCUCGUCGCGGAAGGCCGCGUGCUGGCUCAGCAGCCGCAGGGAGCUGGUGAGGUCCCGGCCCACGUCCUCGGAGGAGAGGAGCCGCUCCUGCUCCCGCAUCCAGGCCUCCUCCUCCCCGGUGUCCCAGAAGAACUUCCAGAAGCGCCGCGAUUCCUCCAGCUUGGCCCGGCGCUGCCCCGCCAGCUCCACCAGCUCCCGGUACCGCAGCUCCAGCGUGGCCACGCGCUCCCGCACCACCUCCGGCUCGCAGGGUUUGUAUCCUGCGGGCGGUCCCGUCAGCUCCCUGCUCCCCUGGGGCUCCGGCCGGGGGUCUCGGGGGUCCUGGGGGGCCGCACUCACCCUCUCCGGGCAGGGCGAAGCGCUGGGCCGCGGCGCUCACCGCCCGCACCCGCUCAGCCUGUGCCGCGAUGUCGGCCUCCACCAGCGCGUGGAUCUGCAGCAGGUCGUCCACCCCGUGCAGGUGCGCCAGGUCCUGCAGCAUCUUCUGCAGCUCGAGGUGCAGCAGCAGCCGCUCGCGGCGGGCGGCCACCAGCUGCCGCAGGAAGUCCCAGAGCCGCGCCACGUUGUUGCGGCGCGCCAGGACGCGGCGCAGGUCGUGGUAACGCUCGGCCUCCAGCUCGGCCGCCACCGCGCUCACCGCCUGCACCCGCUCGCUGUAGGCCACGAUGUCGGUCUCGAUGGCCUCGUGCUUGCGCACCGCCGCCUCCACCGCCGACAUGUCGCUGCCGAAAUUGUCCUGGAGGGGACGGAGAGGGGGUGAGGACGGGCUGUGGGACUCAGGGACGUGGUGGGGGGGUGGCGGAGGGGCAGGGAGGUGGGGGCACCUGGGAGACGAGGCGCUGGUUCUCGCUCAGCCACGUCUCCCUCAUGGCCGCCUUGCGGUCGAAGCGAGCCGCCAGCUGCUCCAGCUUCUCCUGCCGGAUCAGCUCGGUGCGCAGCGCCAGCUCCCGCUCGUGCUCCGCUUUCUCCAGACGCUCCCAGGCCUGCGGGGACGGACACCGGGGUCACUUCUCCCCCCCCCAGGCACGGCGGCGGCGCCCCCUCCUCGCCAAACCUUGUUGAUGUCGGAGAUGAGCUUCCCCUCGCGCGGCACGAACACCUUCUGGUUGUUGGCGCGCAUGCGGCUCUGGAUGGUGAAGAGCAGCACCUCCAGGUUGCCCUUCUCCAUGAACCUGGGGGGGGCACAGAGGCGGCGCUCAGCCCCCCGGGGAGGGGUCCACGGCCACCUGGGGGGCACGGGUCCCAGCGGGGGGGCUCACUUGGGGGGCUUCUCCACCGUGCGGUAGGUGUUGAAGGCC